UGUUAUAGAAUUCUAGGCUGUUGGUUUUUUAAAUCAAAACGUCCUGCAGUGGAAGUUUAAAAGAAUUGUCAGCUGACUGCACCACAGUGUAACCAUCCUGAAGGCCUCAGAAUGCUUCUGAAGAGCAGUGAGGGUCUCUAUUUAUGGAGAACUUAGGAUACUGUGCUAGGACGAGACCCCGCAAGGUGCUGAGUGCCUUCGACUCUCACUGGCUUUGGGAAAUGCAAGAGGUGAUCAGCACAUCGCAGGACUGAUCCAUUACAACAACCUAUCGAGAGGUAUUUCUAGAUUCACUAUCAUUGUGGUGUCUUCCUUUGGAGUCUUCAACCAGAAGGAGGUUGUGACAGGGAGGAGACUCAAAACUAGAGAUGGGCCCAAGCAGCAGAGAGCAGACCAACAUUCAAGUCUGAGCAGCCCCAAAAGUUCAGAGGGGGUCCUUAUCAGUGUUCUGGUUUGGUCUAUUAUAGGACAUGGGCAUGAGCCAUAAAGACCAAAUCCAGAUCAACCUGAACCGCACUAUAGGUCAGGUGAGAGGAUGGAGUUCUACACAACUGCAAUAAUGAAGAAAGGACUAUGGGUGACAUGCUCACCCCAAGAUGAUGUGAAGUGGAAGGUACAGCAUAGCCCAAGAGAUAGCACACAAGACGGAGGCAGAAGACCAGAUUUCUCCUCCAAGCUUUGCCAUUCAAAUGUCGUGUGGCCUUGGUCACUUGUCCCCAUUUAGAUAAGUAAACAGAGGCACAGCAAGCUUAAAACUUAACCAACUGUGUAAAGAGGUCUAAUGAAACCCUUUAAAUGACCCCUGGAUUGAUAGCUAUCAGUC
Long non-coding RNA from Mauremys reevesii (Reeves's turtle), 823 nucleotides. RefSeq lists it as uncharacterized. The transcript has 3 exons. The record is from RefSeq and is a predicted model, not a curated record. Lineage: Eukaryota; Metazoa; Chordata; Testudines; Geoemydidae.